RNAcentral lists this long non-coding RNA (1718 nucleotides) under Sus scrofa (pig). RNAcentral's name for it is "lncRNA (ENSSSCG00065018134.1)". Lineage: Eukaryota; Metazoa; Chordata; Mammalia; Artiodactyla; Suidae. The record is from RNAcentral.
CUGGGCUGUGGUCUCUCUGCCUUGCGGGGAGCCGAGCACACAGUAGGUGCUCAGCAAAGGUUUGCCAAAUGACCCAACUUAGUUCAGUAUCUUAUUUUUCAGUGGGGGUGGUGGAGGUGCUGGAAGGAUUAUUGAACCCCCAAAAUGUCCCUCGGGCAGCUCUGGCAGACCAGGGGCCUCUUGUCGUGGAUAACCUGACCUUGUCUGCGCCUCUGGGAGAAGGAGCGUAUAGGCAGGAAAGGUGGGUUUGUAAGGGGUGCAGGAAAGAGGGGGUGGCUUCAGGCCUUCUAGGUUGGCUUCUGCGGGCCAUGGCUCUCUGGAAGCUUUUUGGCCCAAUCUUGAUUCUAAUUUUUCUGCUCGUCCCAAACCAAAGGAGGGAAAACCGCCUGAGGCCACGACCUUGGUCCCCCGUGGGCCCCCUUGAGCCUGUCCCCACAGAGCCGAGGAGGAGCUGGGAGCGACUGAGGAAGGAGGCAGGGCGACCUGGGGGGGCUGUGGUCUGAGACGCAGCGGAGCCCAGGGCCGAGGGGGGCCAGCCCCACGGCAGCUGCGAGGCUCUGCCACGGGUAAGAGAGCAAUCGAGAAAAAUAAGCUUAAUUUGGGGAAGCAGAUGAGGUGACCUCGAGACUCACUCACUGAGGGCUCGGCCACUGAACCUGAGAAGAUUCUGCCCCUUUCCUGGGGGCGUCUCCGCCGGAGCAGAGCCUGCCCGGUGGCGUCAGGCCCCAGGACGUGGUCCCUCCGUCUCCAUGGCCAUCUUCGGAGAGCUCCUCUGGCUGCCCCAGCGUGAUGCUCCACGGGCCCGGAACCAAGCCCAUCAGAACCUCCAGGCCUCGAUGCCCGCUUCCAGUCCUGGGCAAGUGGGCAAGCUUUGUGCUUCCAGGAAUUUGCUGCUUUGCUCCUUUCCUUGGAGUUUGUCUUCUGGCCAGCCACUGAGGGUCGGGGCCAGGAGAAGGGCAGGUCCUUGUCCUCCUUCCCUUUUCUCUCCACGUCCACCUGGAACCAGGUGGAACGGCCACCUCGUGUCAGCCAAUCUACCACGUGCAUCCGUGACGGAAACCAGAAAUGUGCUUUGUCGUCACAGGAGGGGGCCCCAGGACCACGAGGCCCGAAGAGUGGAGACAGCUCUGGGUUUAACAGGUGGACCCUACAGGUUCCCCGGCGUGGGGCUGAGGGCUGGAGUGGAGAUUCAGGACAGACCCCACCCUGGCCUUCCUGAUGGUGCCGCAAGUUUUACUGGGUAGGGGAAGGGCUGGACAGUGACUUGGGGGCAGCUGGUGAGUCUGGAUUGUUGGGUGCCGGGUACUGGAGAAGGGGGAGGGCCCCCGUCUGAACUGCCCCUGUCCUGCUCUGCCUGGGGGACACGGGGCAGGGUCUGACCCCAGGGGUGGUGACAGCCACCCGGUGGGGGAGGGGCUCCCACCCAAAGGGCAGGUCGAUUCAUGGGUAUGGGGGUGGCAACUGGCUGAAGCCACCCAAAGGAACCGCAAGAGAGAGGUGAGGGCUCUUUCUGGUCCUCUCUGGAUCAACACAGGCUUUCAGAGAGGACCAAGGACACCAAGCCUGUUCCCGGCGCCCUCCCCGGGGGCUCCGUCGCAGGACCGAGGCCUUGACACGGGAAGGGAGGCCUCUUUCUGGAAACUAAGGCUGGCUUUCAAGGACUCGGCCCAGGGGAGGGGCAGUGGGGCCUGGACGGGGCUCACCAGCUGACACUGACC